Molecule: ribosomal RNA, 433 nt
Filed under: uncultured bacterium
Lineage: Bacteria
Description: partial 16S ribosomal RNA
Rfam family: Bacterial small subunit ribosomal RNA
Source: RNAcentral
AACGAACGCUGGCGGCAUGCCUAACACAUGCAAGUCGAACGAGACCUUCGGGUCUAGUGGCGCACGGGUGCGUAACGCGUGGGAACCUGCCCUUAGGUUCGGAAUAACUCCCCGAAAGGGGUGCUAAUACCGGAUAAUGUCUUCGGACCAAAGAUUUAUCGCCUUUGGAUGGGCCCGCGUUGGAUUAGCUAGUUGGUAGGGUAAAACCCUACCAAGGCGACGAUCCAUAGCUGGUCUGAGAGGAUGAUCAGCCACACUGGGACUGAGACACGGCCCAGACUCCUACGGGAAGCAGCAGUGGGGAAUAUUGGACAAUGGGCGAAAGCCUGAUCCAGCAAUGCCGCGUGAGUGAUGAAGGCCUUAGGGUUGUAAAGCUCUUUUACCCGGGAUGAUAAUGACAGUACCGGGAGAAUAAGCUCCGGCUAACUCCGUG